GACGAACGCUGGCGGCGUGCUUAACACAUGCAAGUCGAGCGGUAAGGCCCUUUCGGGGGUACACGAGCGGCGAACGGGUGAGUAACACGUGGGUGACCUGCCCUUAGCUCUGGGAUAAGCCUGGGAAACUGGGUCUAAUACCGGAUAUGACUCCAUGACGCAUGUUGUGGGGUGGAAAGCCUUGUGCGGCUAGGGAUGGGCCCGCGGCCUAUCAGCUUGUUGGUGGGGUGAUGGCCUACCAAGGCGACGACGGGUAGCCGGCCUGAGAGGGCGACCGGCCACACUGGGACUGAGAUACGGCCCAGACUCCUACGGGAGGCAGCAGUGGGGGAUAUUGCGCUAAUGCGCGAAAGCGUGACGCAGCGACGCCGCGUGGGGAUGAAGGCCCUCGGGUCGUAAA
Molecule: ribosomal RNA, 400 nt
Filed under: uncultured bacterium
Lineage: Bacteria
Description: bacterial SSU rRNA
Rfam family: Bacterial small subunit ribosomal RNA
Source: RNAcentral